RNAcentral lists this ribosomal RNA (468 nucleotides) under uncultured bacterium. RNAcentral describes it as "partial 16S ribosomal RNA". It matches the Rfam family "Bacterial small subunit ribosomal RNA", at positions 28 to 507 of the family's 1533-position model. The record is from RNAcentral.
GAUGAACGCUGGCGGCGUGCUUAACACAUGCAAGUCGAACGGAAAGGCCCAAGCUUGCUUGCGUACUCGAGUGGCGAACGGGUGAGUAACACGUGGGUGAUCUGCCCUGCACUUCGGGAUAAGCCUGGGAAACUGGGUCUAAUACCGGAUAGGACGAUGUUUUGGAUGCCAUUGUGGAAAGUUUUUUCGGUGUGGGAUGAGCUCGCGGCCUAUCAGCUUGUUGGUGGGGUAAUGGCCUACCAAGGCGUCGACGGGUAGCCGGCCUGAGAGGGUGUACGGCCACAUUGGGACUGAGAGACGGCCCAGACUACUACGGGAGGCAGAAGUGGGGAAUAUUGCACAAUGGGAGCAAGCCUGAUGCAGGGACGCCGCGUGGGGGAUGACGGCCUUCGGGUUGUAAACUCCUUUCGCUAGGGACGAAGCGUUUUUGUGACGGUACCUGGAGAAGAAGCACCGGCUAACUACGUG